Molecule: ribosomal RNA, 421 nt
Filed under: uncultured Burkholderiales bacterium
Lineage: Bacteria; Pseudomonadati; Pseudomonadota; Betaproteobacteria; Burkholderiales
Description: bacterial SSU rRNA
Rfam family: Bacterial small subunit ribosomal RNA
Source: RNAcentral
AAGGAAUAUUGGUCAAUGGGCGCAAGCCUGAACCAGCCAUGCCGCGUGCAGGAAGACGGCCCUAUGGGUUGUAAACUGCUUUUGUCAGGGAAUAAACCCCCGUACGUGUACGGGGCUGAAGGUACCUGAAGAAUAAGCACCGGCUAACUACGUGCCAGCAGCCGCGGUAAUACGUAGGGUGCAAGCGUUAAUCGGAAUUACUGGGCGUAAAGCGUGCGCAGGCGGUUUUGUAAGACAGUGGUGAAAUCCCCGGGCUCAACCUGGGAACUGCCAUUGUGACUGCAAGGCUGGAGUGCGGCAGAGGGGGAUGGAAUUCCGCGUGUAGCAGUGAAAUGCGUAGAUAUGCGGAGGAACACCGAUGGCGAAGGCAAUCCCCUGGGCCUGCACUGACGCUCAUGCACGAAAGCGUGGGGAGCAAACA